RNAcentral lists this ribosomal RNA (497 nucleotides) under uncultured bacterium. RNAcentral describes it as "partial 16S ribosomal RNA". It matches the Rfam family "Bacterial small subunit ribosomal RNA", at positions 28 to 507 of the family's 1533-position model. The record is from RNAcentral.
GAUGAACGCUGGCGGCGUGCCUAAUACAUGCAAGUCGAGCGAACAGACGAGGAGCUUGCUCCUCUGACGUUAGCGGCGGACGGGUGAGUAACACGUGGAUAACCUACUUAUAAGACUGGGAUAACUUCGGGAAACCGGAGCUAAUACCGGAUAAUAUAUUGAACCGCAUGGCUCAAUAGUGAAAGACGGUUUUGCUGUCACUUAUAGAUGGAUCCGCGCCGCAUUAGCUAGUUGGUAAGGUAACGGCUUACCAAGGCAACGAUGCGUAGCCGACCUGAGAGGGUGAUCGGCCACACUGGAACUGAGACACGGUCCAGACUCCUACGGGAGGCAGCAGUAGGGAAUCUUCCGCAAUGGGCGAAAGCCUGACGGAGCAACGCCGCGUGAGUGAUGAAGGUCUUCGGAUCGUAAAACUCUGUUAUUAGGGAAGAACAAAUGUGUAAGUAACUAUGCACGUCUUGACGGUACCUAAUCAGAAAGCCACGGCUAACUACGUG